AUUGAACGCUGGCGGCAGGCCUAACACAUGCAAGUCGAACGAGUGGCGGACGGGUGAGUAAUGUCUGGGAAACUGCCCGAUGGAGGGGGAUAACUACUGGAAACGGUAGCUAAUACCGCAUACCAUCGGAUGUGCCCAGAUGGGAUUGGCUUGUAGGUGAGGUAACGGCUCACCUAGGCGACGAUCACAAGCUGGUCGGAGAGGAUGACCAGCCACCCUGGAACGUAGCAACGGUCCAGACUCCUACGUGAGGCCGCAGUGGGGAAUAUUGCACAAUGGGCCCAAGCCUGAUGCAGCCAUGCCGCGUGUAUGAAGAAUGCCUUCGGGUUUUAAAGUACUUUCCGCGGGGAGGCGUUACCCGCAGAAGAAGCACGGGCUAACUCCGUGCCAGCAGCCGCGGUAAUAC
Molecule: ribosomal RNA, 406 nt
Filed under: uncultured bacterium
Lineage: Bacteria
Description: partial 16S ribosomal RNA
Rfam family: Bacterial small subunit ribosomal RNA
Source: RNAcentral